RNAcentral lists this unclassified non-coding RNA (350 nucleotides) under soil metagenome. RNAcentral's name for it is "partial contains 5.8S ribosomal RNA, internal transcribed spacer 2, and large subunit ribosomal RNA". The stretch from base 1 to 120 matches the Rfam family "5.8S ribosomal RNA", at positions 35 to 154 of the family's 154-position model. The record is from RNAcentral.
GAUGAAGAACGCAGCGAAAUGCGAUACGUAAUGUGAAUUGCAGAAUUCAGUGAAUCAUCGAAUCUUUGAACGCACAUUGCGCCCGCCAGUAUUCUGGCGGGCAUGCCUGUUCGAGCGUCAUUACAACCCUCAGGCCCCCGGGCCUGGCGUUGGGGAUCGGCGGAGCCCCCCGUGGGCACACGCCGUCCCCCAAAUGCAGUGGCGGUCCCGCCGCAGCUUCCAUCGCGUAGUAGCUAACACCUCGCGACUGGAGAGCGGCGCGGCCACGCCGUAAAACACCCAACUCUUCUGAAGUUGACCUCGAAUCAGGUAGGAAUACCCGCUGAACUUAAGCAUAUCAAUAAGCGGGA